GACGAACCGUACGAACGUUAUUCGGAAUUACUGGGCUUAAAGGGUGCGUAGGCGGCGCAGUAAGUUGGGUGUGAAAUCCCUCGGCUUAACCGAGGAAUUGCGCCCAAAACUACUGUGCUCGAGGGAGGUAGAGGUGAGCGGAACUUAGGGUGGAGCGGUGAAAUGCGUUGAUAUCUGGAGGAACACCGGUGGCGAAGGCGGCAUCCUGGACCAACACUGACACUGAGGAGCGAAAGCCAGGGGAGCAAACGGG
RNAcentral lists this ribosomal RNA (253 nucleotides) under uncultured bacterium. RNAcentral describes it as "partial 16S ribosomal RNA". It matches the Rfam family "Bacterial small subunit ribosomal RNA", at positions 524 to 776 of the family's 1533-position model. The record is from RNAcentral.